This 2903-nucleotide ribosomal RNA is filed under the name Escherichia coli. RNAcentral's name for it is "23S ribosomal RNA from Escherichia coli (PDB 8AYE, chain a)". It matches the Rfam family "Bacterial large subunit ribosomal RNA". Lineage: Bacteria; Pseudomonadati; Pseudomonadota; Gammaproteobacteria; Enterobacterales; Enterobacteriaceae. The record is from RNAcentral.
GGUUAAGCGACUAAGCGUACACGGUGGAUGCCCUGGCAGUCAGAGGCGAUGAAGGACGUGCUAAUCUGCGAUAAGCGUCGGUAAGGUGAUAUGAACCGUUAUAACCGGCGAUUUCCGAAUGGGGAAACCCAGUGUGUUUCGACACACUAUCAUUAACUGAAUCCAUAGGUUAAUGAGGCGAACCGGGGGAACUGAAACAUCUAAGUACCCCGAGGAAAAGAAAUCAACCGAGAUUCCCCCAGUAGCGGCGAGCGAACGGGGAGCAGCCCAGAGCCUGAAUCAGUGUGUGUGUUAGUGGAAGCGUCUGGAAAGGCGCGCGAUACAGGGUGACAGCCCCGUACACAAAAAUGCACAUGCUGUGAGCUCGAUGAGUAGGGCGGGACACGUGGUAUCCUGUCUGAAUAUGGGGGGACCAUCCUCCAAGGCUAAAUACUCCUGACUGACCGAUAGUGAACCAGUACCGUGAGGGAAAGGCGAAAAGAACCCCGGCGAGGGGAGUGAAAAAGAACCUGAAACCGUGUACGUACAAGCAGUGGGAGCACGCUUAGGCGUGUGACUGCGUACCUUUUGUAUAAUGGGUCAGCGACUUAUAUUCUGUAGCAAGGUUAACCGAAUAGGGGAGCCGAAGGGAAACCGAGUCUUAACUGGGCGUUAAGUUGCAGGGUAUAGACCCGAAACCCGGUGAUCUAGCCAUGGGCAGGUUGAAGGUUGGGUAACACUAACUGGAGGACCGAACCGACUAAUGUUGAAAAAUUAGCGGAUGACUUGUGGCUGGGGGUGAAAGGCCAAUCAAACCGGGAGAUAGCUGGUUCUCCCCGAAAGCUAUUUAGGUAGCGCCUCGUGAAUUCAUCUCCGGGGGUAGAGCACUGUUUCGGCAAGGGGGUCAUCCCGACUUACCAACCCGAUGCAAACUGCGAAUACCGGAGAAUGUUAUCACGGGAGACACACGGCGGGUGCUAACGUCCGUCGUGAAGAGGGAAACAACCCAGACCGCCAGCUAAGGUCCCAAAGUCAUGGUUAAGUGGGAAACGAUGUGGGAAGGCCCAGACAGCCAGGAUGUUGGCUUAGAAGCAGCCAUCAUUUAAAGAAAGCGUAAUAGCUCACUGGUCGAGUCGGCCUGCGCGGAAGAUGUAACGGGGCUAAACCAUGCACCGAAGCUGCGGCAGCGACGCUUAUGCGUUGUUGGGUAGGGGAGCGUUCUGUAAGCCUGCGAAGGUGUGCUGUGAGGCAUGCUGGAGGUAUCAGAAGUGCGAAUGCUGACAUAAGUAACGAUAAAGCGGGUGAAAAGCCCGCUCGCCGGAAGACCAAGGGUUCCUGUCCAACGUUAAUCGGGGCAGGGUGAGUCGACCCCUAAGGCGAGGCCGAAAGGCGUAGUCGAUGGGAAACAGGUUAAUAUUCCUGUACUUGGUGUUACUGCGAAGGGGGGACGGAGAAGGCUAUGUUGGCCGGGCGACGGUUGUCCCGGUUUAAGCGUGUAGGCUGGUUUUCCAGGCAAAUCCGGAAAAUCAAGGCUGAGGCGUGAUGACGAGGCACUACGGUGCUGAAGCAACAAAUGCCCUGCUUCCAGGAAAAGCCUCUAAGCAUCAGGUAACAUCAAAUCGUACCCCAAACCGACACAGGUGGUCAGGUAGAGAAUACCAAGGCGCUUGAGAGAACUCGGGUGAAGGAACUAGGCAAAAUGGUGCCGUAACUUCGGGAGAAGGCACGCUGAUAUGUAGGUGAGGUCCCUCGCGGAUGGAGCUGAAAUCAGUCGAAGAUACCAGCUGGCUGCAACUGUUUAUUAAAAACACAGCACUGUGCAAACACGAAAGUGGACGUAUACGGUGUGACGCCUGCCCGGUGCCGGAAGGUUAAUUGAUGGGGUUAGCGCAAGCGAAGCUCUUGAUCGAAGCCCCGGUAAACGGCGGCCGUAACUAUAACGGUCCUAAGGUAGCGAAAUUCCUUGUCGGGUAAGUUCCGACCUGCACGAAUGGCGUAAUGAUGGCCAGGCUGUCUCCACCCGAGACUCAGUGAAAUUGAACUCGCUGUGAAGAUGCAGUGUACCCGCGGCAAGACGGAAAGACCCCGUGAACCUUUACUAUAGCUUGACACUGAACAUUGAGCCUUGAUGUGUAGGAUAGGUGGGAGGCUUUGAAGUGUGGACGCCAGUCUGCAUGGAGCCGGCCUUGAAAUACCACCCUUUAAUGUUUGAUGUUCUAACGUUGACCCGUAAUCCGGGUUGCGGACAGUGUCUGGUGGGUAGUUUGACUGGGGCGGUCUCCUCCUAAAGAGUAACGGAGGAGCACGAAGGUUGGCUAAUCCUGGUCGGACAUCAGGAGGUUAGUGCAAUGGCAUAAGCCAGCUUGACUGCGAGCGUGACGGCGCGAGCAGGUGCGAAAGCAGGUCAUAGUGAUCCGGUGGUUCUGAAUGGAAGGGCCAUCGCUCAACGGAUAAAAGGUACUCCGGGGAUAACAGGCUGAUACCGCCCAAGAGUUCAUAUCGACGGCGGUGUUUGGCACCUCGAUGUCGGCUCAUCACAUCCUGGGGCUGAAGUAGGUCCCAAGGGUAUGGCUGUUCGCCAUUUAAAGUGGUACGCGAGCUGGGUUUAGAACGUCGUGAGACAGUUCGGUCCCUAUCUGCCGUGGGCGCUGGAGAACUGAGGGGGGCUGCUCCUAGUACGAGAGGACCGGAGUGGACGCAUCACUGGUGUUCGGGUUGUCAUGCCAAUGGCACUGCCCGGUAGCUAAAUGCGGAAGAGAUAAGUGCUGAAAGCAUCUAAGCACGAAACUUGCCCCGAGAUGAGUUCUCCCUGACCCUUUAAGGGUCCUGAAGGAACGUUGAAGACGACGACGUUGAUAGGCCGGGUGUGUAAGCGCAGCGAUGCGUUGAGCUAACCGGUACUAAUGAACCGUGAGGCUUAACCU